This 295-nucleotide unclassified non-coding RNA is filed under the name Hevea brasiliensis (rubber tree). The record is from RNAcentral. Lineage: Eukaryota; Viridiplantae; Streptophyta; Magnoliopsida; Malpighiales; Euphorbiaceae.
UUUGCGUAGGCAGAGAGCAGAAGUCAUGGGGCUUCUUUUACGAAUUUUUUGUUCUUGCUUUGGUGAAGAAUUGGGAACUAAAGGUUUUUUCUUAUCAAUAAAUAGUUGAUUAUAGAAAAAUGGGGAUCAAAUGCUGUUAUUUACUACCCAGUCUUCCGAAACAAAGAGUGUUUCUGCUUAGUUCGCUUGAAUUUUACUUACCUCAAUUUAGGAGUUCCGCUGUUUAAUAGCAUAGCAUAGGAAAUAGAUGGUGAAGUAAUGAGAAAUCGGCUAAGUAUACCGUGUUAAUGCUGAA